CUAACGGUGAUGUGUUAAUAAAAGCAGAUGUCACGUUACCUACAGACACAGCACCGGCUAACUCCGUGCCAGCAGCCCCGGUAAUACGCAGGGUCCGAGCGUUAAUCGGAAUUACUGGGCGUAAAGCGUGCGCAGGCGGUUUGUUAAGCCAGAUGUGAAAUCCCCGGGCUCAACCUGGGAAUUGCAUUUGGAACUGGCGAACUAGAGUCUUGUAGAGGGGGGUAGAAUUCCAGGUGUAGCGGUGAAAUGCGUAUAUAUCUGGAGGAAUACCGGUGGCGAAGGCGGCCCCCUGGACAAAGACUGACGCUCAGCACGAAAAG
This 320-nucleotide ribosomal RNA is filed under the name bacterium ER-Te-41. RNAcentral's name for it is "bacterial SSU rRNA". It matches the Rfam family "Bacterial small subunit ribosomal RNA", at positions 439 to 760 of the family's 1533-position model. The record is from RNAcentral.